AAUAGAUACCCCGGUAGUCCAUGCCGUAAACGUUGGGCGCUAGAUGUGGGGACCAUUCCACGGUUUCCGUGUCGCAGCUAACGCAUUAAGCGCCCCGCCUGGGGAGUACGGCCGCAAGGCUAAAACUCAAAGAAAUUGACGGGGGCCCGCACAAGCGGCGGAGCAUGCGGAUUAAUUCGAUGCAACGCGAAGAACCUUACCAAGGCUUGACAUAUACGAGAACGCUCUAGAAAUAGAGAACUCUUUGGACACUCGUAUACAGGUGGUGCAUGGUUGUCGUCAGCUCGUGUCGUGAGAUGUUGGGUUAAGUCCCGCAACGAGCGCAACCCUCGUUCUAUGUUGCCAGCGGUUCGGCCGGGAACUCAUAGGAGACUGCCGGGGUCAACUCGGAGGAAGGUGGGGAUGACGUCAAAUCAUCAUGCCCCUUAUGUCUUGGGCUUCACGCAUGCUACAAUGGCCGGUACAAAGGGCUGCAAUACCGUAAGGUGGAGCGAAUCCCAAAAAGCCGGUCUCAGUUCGGAUUGAGGUCUGCAACUCG
This 538-nucleotide ribosomal RNA is filed under the name uncultured bacterium. RNAcentral describes it as "bacterial SSU rRNA". It matches the Rfam family "Bacterial small subunit ribosomal RNA", at positions 777 to 1314 of the family's 1533-position model. The record is from RNAcentral.